AGGGCUGUAGCUCAAUUGGUAGAGCACCGGUCUCCAAAACCGGGGGUCGGGGGUUCGAGUCCCUCCAGCCCUGCCA
This 76-nucleotide transfer RNA is filed under the name Actinobacteria bacterium ADurb.BinA094. RNAcentral's name for it is "tRNA-Trp". It matches the Rfam family "tRNA". Rfam says of the family: Transfer RNA (tRNA) molecules are approximately 80 nucleotides in length. Their secondary structure includes four short double-helical elements and three loops (D, anti-codon, and T loops). Further hydrogen bonds mediate the characteristic L-shaped molecular structure. tRNAs have two regions of fundamental functional importance: the anti-codon, which is responsible for specific mRNA codon recognition, and the 3' end, to which the tRNAs corresponding amino acid is attached (by aminoacyl-tRNA synthetases). tRNAs cope with the degeneracy of the genetic code in two manners: having more than one tRNA (with a specific anti-codon) for a particular amino acid; and 'wobble' base-pairing, i.e. permitting non-standard base-pairing at the 3rd anti-codon position. Lineage: Bacteria; Bacillati; Actinomycetota. The record is from RNAcentral. RNAcentral also lists the same sequence under 6 other names.